GUGCUGGCUUAGACAGCACAUAUAUUAAAAUUGGAACAACAUAGAGAAGAUUAGCAUAGCCCCUGCGAAAAGAUGACACACAAAUUUGCGAGAUGUUCCAUAUUUUU
This is a small nuclear RNA of Chionomys nivalis (European snow vole), 107 nucleotides long. NCBI's taxonomy places the organism in Eukaryota, Metazoa, Chordata, Mammalia, Rodentia, Cricetidae. The record is from RefSeq and is a predicted model, not a curated record.